RNAcentral lists this ribosomal RNA (158 nucleotides) under Chytridiomycota sp. Mori T21. Its description in RNAcentral is "5.8S ribosomal RNA". It matches the Rfam family "5.8S ribosomal RNA". Rfam says of the family: 5.8S ribosomal RNA (5.8S rRNA) is a component of the large subunit of the eukaryotic ribosome. It is transcribed by RNA polymerase I as part of the 45S precursor that also contains 18S and 28S rRNA. Lineage: Eukaryota; Fungi; Chytridiomycota. The record is from RNAcentral.
CAACUUUUGACAACGGAUCUCUUGGCUCUCACAACGAUGAAGAACGUAGCGAAUUGCGAUAAGUAGUGUGAAUUGCAGAAUUCAGUGAAUCAUCGAAUUUUUGAACGCAUAUUGCGCUCUCUGGUAUUCCGGGGAGCAUGCCUGUUUGAGAACCAUUC